Molecule: long non-coding RNA, 4046 nt
Filed under: Erythranthe guttata (spotted monkey flower)
Lineage: Eukaryota; Viridiplantae; Streptophyta; Magnoliopsida; Lamiales; Phrymaceae
Description: long non-coding RNA (EGUT_LNC001495)
Source: RNAcentral
AGGUAACAUCAUUCAAGUGUGGUGGUUUUGCAAUCGGCAUGUCUACGAAUCACAUCUUAUUCGACGGCCUAGGCGCCAAGGUAUUCCUCCUAAACCUAGCUUCCCAAUCUUUCGAAAACAAACCCUUAGCCAUCUUACCCUAUAACGACCGUCGGAUUCUCGCCGCUAGAUCUCCACCGCAUGUUUCCUUUCCUCACCCAGAGUUCCUCAAAUUCGACCUCCCCGUGGGCCCGGGGUCAACUCCCCCAAAGUUCGACUGCAUCAUAGAAGAACUCGAUUUCAAAAUCUUCAAACUCAACACAACUCAGAUAUCCCACUUAAAGGACGAUAUUACUAAGAACUCCAAAAUUGAAAGAAUUAGCACCCUUGCGGUGGUGGCCGCCCUAAUCUGGCGGUGCAAAGCCUUUUCCGAUGAUAAAAAUAGGGUUUCCACUCUGCUUAACGUUAUCGACAUUAGGCCAAGAGUGAAGCCCCCAUUACCAUAUUCGUACUCGGCCAACGCAGUGCUUCCCUUGGGAGUUUUGGAAACUUGUGACGAGAUAAAAAACGGGCCGUUUUCGAAGCUUGUGGAGAUUAUCACCGAAGGGGCUAAAGAGAUGACUCAUGAGUACGUGAAAUCGGCUUUCGAUUGGUUGGAGUUGAAUAGAGGGAUUCCUCAUGGGGAUUAUAUGGUGAGCUCAUGGCUUAGAUUAGGGUUUGAUGAGGUGGAGUAUGCAUGGGGGAAGCCGAUGUACAGUUGUCCGGUGGUGAAUCAUCGGAAAGAUAUUUGUUGGGUUUUUCGGGAUGCCGUUGAUAAUGGUGUUUGUGCAAUGGUGGCUUUGCCUUCUCAAGAGAUGGACAUAUUUGAGGGUGUUUUCCAUGACUUUUUUGCUUCAAUAUUGGUUCACUAAGGAUCGGACAUAUAUGUGUGUGUGCGCGCGCGCGCACAAUAUUGUUCUUUGUGAUUUUAUUGUUGUGUGUUUAAUUGAGCAUUUAGACCGACCACCCCUAUGUAAUCUCUAAUUGCAAAACAUGUUUCUAAGUUAAAAUUAUUAGCAAUAAAACCCCCCAUAUUGUGUUUUAUGAAACACGCUUCUUAUAUUAAAAUUAGGGUUAAUAGCAUUUCGCCACCUGGACUUUGCCCGUUUUUGCACUUUGCCACCUUAACUAAAAAAAGUUGCAAGCGCCCACCCAAACUCAGUUUUUUGACGCACAUAACCACCUAAGGGGAAUAUUCCGGCGAAUCUUCUAAUUUUCCAGGCACGCGUGAUGCACAUGCGAAAGUACAAGGGAUUUUUCGUCUUUUUACUUGAAAAUAUCAUAAGGGGGUGAAAUUGAAAGUACCAGGGACUCAAUUAAACAUAAUUUGAAACUUUCACAAAUUCAAAGUUAAUUGAAGCUCUGUAGCUUCAUCUUCUAUGGGAUCAAAACACCCACCGCCUGGGCCCGGUGAACAAAAGAGGCGCUGCCGUUGGAGAAUUCAGACGGGCCCGGAGGGGGGGGGGGGGUGGGGGGGGGCUACCGUUGGAGAAUUUCUCAAACGCCUUGUUGUUGAUGAGCAAAAGCGCCAACAUAGAGACAACAUAUGAGAACUACUGGAGCAUUCCCAAUUCAAGUAUCCACACCCACGCCCACUUCAAUUCCACCAAUUCCUUCAAAUUCGUCUCUCUCUAGGGUUUUAGUCUUCGAUUUGGGCCCCCAACAAUUCAUGGGAAAUUGUCGAAAUCGGUUCGCCGAUCGUGAAAAGGUACCUCGGCGUCUAGGGUUUUAGUCUUCGAUUUGGGCCCCCAACAAUUCGUGGGAAAUCGGUUCGCCGGUCGUGAAAAGGUACCUCGGCGACGAGGAAGAACAGUGGUACAUGCGGUACCACAGGCUAUCCGGCGAGAAUCCGAAAUCCGAUUCAAUCACUUCCGGAGUUGGGUUCUUCGUCUCUCUCAUCCAUGGCGAAUUUCAGCAGAUUGAUGUCGUUGUUCUUCUUCAUCUCUUUAUUGGAGAUUUUUUUCUCCAUUUUGAAGCAGGCGUGCAGCGCAGCGGUGGGUGUUUUUAUCCCAUGGAAAAUGAAGCCACAAAGCUUCAAUUAAUUUCAAAUUUGUGAAAGUUUCAAAUUAAGUUCAAUUGAGUCCCUGGUACUUUCAAUUUCACUCCCUUAUGAUAUUUUCAGGUGAAAAGACGAAAAAACCCUUGUACUUUCGUAUGUGCAUCGCGCAUGCGUUGAAAAAUGAGAAUAUUCGCCGGAAUAUUCUCCUUAGGUGGUUAUGUGCGUCAAAAAACUGAGUUUGGGUGGGCGCUUGCAACUUUUUUUAGUUAAGGUGGGAAAGUGCAAAAACGGACAAAGUCCAAGUGGCGAAAUGCUAUUAACCCUUAAAAUUAUUUGCUUACUUAUGUGAAAUAACAAAACUAUCCUAAUAAAUAUUAAACAAUAUUACAAUUUUAAAUAAAAAAAUGAAAAAAUAAAAAAAAAUAAAAAAUUAAAGGAAAGAUAAGGAAAAAAAACAUUUUAGUCCGACGGCGGAUAUAUGCAAGCCCAUUUUUUUAUUAGUUCAAACCCACAUAAAGGGGUUUAUUAGUUGAAGUCCAUAAAUUAAUCUAAUCUUAUUACAUCAAAACCAAAGAGGACGAAUAUACCUUUAUCCACAAAUAAUACCCAAAUAUAAACAAGACCAAAAAAUCAAAAAACAAAAGAAAAAACAAAAAGAAAUAAAAAACUCACGACUGCUACCGCAACGCCGACCACCGAGGCUUCCACCGCGCCGGCGGCGACCAUCGACCCACCCACCGCACCACCACCAACAAGUAAGUCCUUUUUACUAAACUUUUGUUUGUAAAUUUUAAAACAUUAAUCGAGCAUCGAUUCUUCAUAAAUAUGCGAGGAUGAAUAUUAAUCUAUUUUUAUUUCUUGUUGGGUUGCAAUGCUUUAGCCGAUUCUGGAAAAACAAUUGAGAUUGAAAUUGGUUUUUUUUGUGUGUUUUCGUUGGUUUCCCAAAUCGGUUUACCCAUACCGAUUUUAUACACGAAAAUCGGCGUCAUAAUGCUGAUUUUUGUUAACCAAAUCGGCGACACAACGACUUUACAAGUAAAUAUCAGCGUUGUAAUGCCGAUUUUUAUUUUUUUUUAUUUUGUGUUUUUUAUUUGGUUUUUAAUUUCAUUAAGGGGUAAAUUAGUAUUUUUAUGUUGGAGGUCUUGAAUUAAUAAAAAAAUGUGCUUGCAUAUAUCCACCACCUUUCAGUCCCUGCAUCUCCUCGACCACCAAACCUCCAAAUCCAAUCAUCAUCCACACCACCACAACACCCGCGUUCAACGUACCUGCUCUCGAUUUGGUGUGAUGAAAAUUCUCCAAAAUAUGGGCGAAGAAAAUGUUGGAUUAGUGGGACGGAAGGGGGUAUGCACGGUUGAAGGCUUGAAGCGAAGGCUGAGGGUAUGGAGGGACGUGAGGCCGGAGAGGAUGUUUGCCAGAAGGAGAGUGGCAACUCAGCUAUGUUCAACGUAUUUCUUAAAACAAUUCAAAUUAGUCCCUGACAGAAGGAAGAAGCGGGCCUUUUUGAAAAUAGGCGGGACUGAAUUGAAAAUGUUGAAAACUUUAUUUUCGGGCCUUUUUUUAGCAAUUGACGAUUACACAUGAGUUGUGUUUGCAAUUUACUCUAUAGAAUUUUCAUGCGUUUUCGAUGACUAUGAAAAAUUGCGUGUGUGUGUGUGUGUGUGUGUGUGUGUGAGUGCUCCUACUUCAUACACUUGUUGUAUAAUAUAUUAGUGUGGAUGAAUACUUUAAUUUUCCCUAUAUUACUUGAUUCUUAUAGUUCAAGCACUAUUUGCAGGUAACAUCAUUCAAGUGUGGUGGUUUUGCAAUCGGCAUGUCUACGAAUCACAUCUUAUUCGACGACCUAGGCGCCAAGGUAUUCCUCCUAAACCUAGCUUCCCAAUCUAUCGAAAACAAACCCUUAGCCACCGUACCCUAUAACGACCGUCGGAUUCUCGCCACUAGAUCUCCACCGCAUGUUUCCUUUCCUCACUCAGAGUUCCUCAAAUUCGACCUCCCCGUGGGCCCGGGGUCAACUCCCCCAAAGUUCGAC